AAAUUGCUGAAAUUUGGGAUUUGUCUUUCCAUUUCUCAAUUCUACGAUUCCAUGGUUGAUGCUUUUCUGAAGAUUUUUCCCGAGGUUGCACAUGGCUGGUCUAUGAGGUACAAAAAUAAAGAUGAAGUGGCUGUCAAAUCUGCUGAAGAGCACACCAAAACAUUUUGGGGUGGUUUAAGAAGCAUCCCAACACCGAGGUGAUAGUAUAUGUUUUGUUGUCGUCCAGACACAUGU
Molecule: long non-coding RNA, 234 nt
Organism: Lycium ferocissimum
Lineage: Eukaryota; Viridiplantae; Streptophyta; Magnoliopsida; Solanales; Solanaceae
Exons: 3
Source: RefSeq, a predicted model, not a curated record